GACGAACGCUGGCGGCGUGCUUAACACAUGCAAGUCGAACGGAAAGGCCCUGCUUUUGUGGGGUGCUCGAGUGGCGAACGGGUGAGUAACACGUGAGUAACCUGCCCUUGACUUUGGGAUAACUUCAGGAAACUGGGGCUAAUACCGGAUAGGAGCUCCUGCUGCAUGGUGGGGGUUGGAAAGUUUCGGCGGUUGGGGAUGGACUCGCGGCUUAUCAGCUUGUUGGUGGGGUAGUGGCUUACCAAGGCUUUGACGGGUAGCCGGCCUGGGAGGGUGACCGGCCACAUUGGGACUGAGAUACGGCCCAGACUCCUACGGGAGGCAGCAGUGGGGAAUAUUGCACAAUGGGCGGAAGCCUGAUGCAGCAACGCCGCGUGCGGGAGGACGGCCUUCGGGUUGUAAACCGCUUUCGCCUGUGACGAAGCGUGAGUGACGGUAAUUGGUAAAGAAGCACCGGCUAACUACGU
Molecule: ribosomal RNA, 467 nt
Filed under: uncultured bacterium
Lineage: Bacteria
Description: partial 16S ribosomal RNA
Rfam family: Bacterial small subunit ribosomal RNA
Source: RNAcentral